Molecule: ribosomal RNA, 1347 nt
Filed under: uncultured bacterium
Lineage: Bacteria
Description: partial 16S ribosomal RNA
Rfam family: Bacterial small subunit ribosomal RNA
Source: RNAcentral
GACGAACGCUGGCGGCGUGCUUAACACAUGCAAGUCGAACGGAGAGGCCCUGCUUUUGUGGGGUGCUCGAGUGGCGAACGGGUGAGUAACACGUGAGUAACCUGCCCUUGACUUUGGGAUAAUUUCAGGAAACUGGGGCUAAUACCGGAUAGGAGCUCCUGCUGCAUGGUGGGGGUUGGAAAGUUUCGGCGGUUGGGGAUGGACUCGCGGCUUAUCAGCUUGUUGGUGGGGUAGUGGCUUACCAAGGCUUUGACGGGUAGCCGGCCUGAGAGGGUGACCGGCCACAUUGGGACUGAGAUACGGCCCAGACUCCUACGGGAGGCAGCAGUGGGGAAUAUUGCACAAUGGGCGGAAGCCUGAUGCAGCAACGCCGCGUGCGGGAUGACGGCCUUCGGGUUGUAAACCGCUUUCGCCUGUGACGAAGCGUGAGUGACGGUAAUGGGUAAAGAAGCACCGGCUAACUACGUGCCAGCAGCCGCGGUGAUACGUAGGGUGCGAGCGUUGUCCGGAUUUAUUGGGCGUAAAGGGCUCGUAGGUGGUUGAUCGCGUCGGAAGUGUAAUCUUGGGGCUUAACCCUGAGCGUGCUUUCGAUACGGGUUGACUUGAGGAAGGUAGGGGAGAAUGGAAUUCCUGGUGGAGCGGUGGAAUGCGCAGAUAUCAGGAGGGAACACCAGUGGCGAAGGCGGUUCUCUGGGCCUUUCCUGACGCUGAGGAGCGAAAGCGUGGGGAGCGAACAGGCUUAGAUACCUUGGUAGUCCACGCUGUAAACGGUGGGUACUAGGUGUGGGGUCCAUUCCACGGGUUCCGUGCCGUAGCUAACGCUUUAAGUACCCCGCCUGGGGAGUACGGCCGCAAGGCUAAAACUCAAAGGAAUUGACGGGGCCCCGCACAAGCGGCGGAGCAUGCGGAUUAAUUCGAUGCAACGCGUAGAACCUUACCUGGGUUUGACAUGGAUCGGGAGUGCUCAGAGAUGGGUGUGCCUCUUUUGGGGUCGGUUCACAGGUGGUGCAUGGCUGUCGUCAGCUCGUGUCGUGAGAUGUUGGGUUAAGUCCCGCAACGAGCGCAACCCUUGUUCACUGUUGCCAGCACGUUAUGGUGGGGACUCAGUGGAGACCGCCGGGGUCAACUCGGAGGAAGGUGGGGAUGACGUCAAGUCAUCAUGCCCCUUAUGUCCAGGGCUUCACGCAUGCUACAAUGGCUGGUACAGAGAGUGGCGAGCCUGUGAGGGUGAGCGAAUCUCGGAAAGCCGGUCUCAGUUCGGAUUGGGGUCUGCAACUCGACCUCAUGAAGUCGGAGUCGCUAGUAAUCGCAGAUCAGCAACGCUGCGGUGAAAACGUUCCCGGGGCU